RNAcentral lists this ribosomal RNA (1032 nucleotides) under uncultured bacterium. RNAcentral's name for it is "bacterial SSU rRNA". It matches the Rfam family "Bacterial small subunit ribosomal RNA", at positions 60 to 1112 of the family's 1533-position model. The record is from RNAcentral.
AGUCGUACGAUGCUAAGGUCGCAAGACCGAAGCAUAGUGGCAAACGGGUGAGUAACACAUUGGCAACCUACCUCAAAGACGGGAAUAACCCGGCGAAAGCUGGACUAAUAUCCGAUAUGUUCCGGUAACACAAGUUACCGGAGUAAAGCUUCGGCGCUUUGAGAGGGGCCUAUGCAUCAUCAGCUAGUUGGUAAGGUAAUGGCUUACCAAGGCUUUGACGGUUAGCGGGUGUGAGAGCACGACCCGCCUCACUGGGACUGAGACACUGCCCAGACUCCUACGGGAGGCUGCAGUCAAGAGUAUUCCCCAAUGCACGAAAGUGUGAGGGAGCGACGCCGCGUGAUUGAUGAAGCCCUUCGGGGUGUAAAAAUCUUUUAUUUGGGACGAACUAAUGACGGUACCAAAUGAAUAAGGGGCUGCUAAACUCGUGCCAGCAGCAGCGGUAAUACGAGUGCCCCAAGCGUUACCCGGAUUUAUUGGGCGUAAAGCGUGUGUAGGCGGUUUAUUAAGUCAAUGGUAAAAUUUUCCAGCUCAACUGGGAAUCUGCCGUUGAUACUAUUAAACUAGAGUCUGGAAGAGGCAAGUGGAAUUGCCGGUGUAGGAGUCAAAUCCGUUAAUAUCGGCAGGAACACCAAAUGUGAAGACAACUUGCUAGUACAGCACUGACGCUAAGACACGAAAGCGUGGGGAGCGAAGCGGAUUAGAUACCCGCGUAGUCCACGCCGUAAACAUUGGAUACUAGACCUUGGGAGUAUCGACCCUCCCAGUGUCGUUUACAAAAGCAAACGCGUUAAGUAUCCCGCCUGGGAAGUACGGCCGCAAGGCUAAAACUCAAAGGAAUUGACGGGGACUCGCACAAGCGGUGGAGCACGUGGUUUAAUUCGACAGUAAACGAAAAACCUUACCAGGGCUUGACAUAUAGCUGCACGCCCCGAGAAUCGGGGAGCCUACGAGGUGCUAUACAGUGCUGCAUGUGUCGUCAGCUCGUGUCGUGAGAUGUACGUAGUCGAUACGAGCGCACCCCAUCUACUA